UGGAAACAACCUCUCUGUCCUUUCGGGUAAGGGUAAGGCGUGUCUACAUAUUACCCUCCCCAUACCCCACUUUGUGAGACUAUACUUGGUAGUUGUUGUUGUUGUUGUUGUAUGUAAGACUAGGCAGAAUUGAGGUGCUUAAAUGCAGACAAGUUAGAGUCAUUCAAGAUCUACAUAUCCCCGUCAAUGCUCUUUGUAUGAUGGGGAAAGGUGACUCAAAAGCAUAUGCGUCGGUAAGAACCCUCCAAAUAUAACAAAAAGCAACAAAAGUAUAGUAAAUAAAGUUGCUUCCUUCAAGAGCAAAAAUAAAAUAAAAAUUGGUCUUGUACCAAAUUUAUGCCUGUUUGAUUUGGGACAAAAAUUUUGAUUUCUUAGGUUGUGGUGUUCAUAGUGCAAAUUUUUCUAAUUUUAGCUGGUUUAUUUGCAUUAGGGUUGUAAGUUAGGAGUAGUAGAACUUUCUUUACUUCAUACUGGGGGUGAGGCGGGG
This 487-nucleotide long non-coding RNA is filed under the name Nicotiana benthamiana. RNAcentral describes it as "long non-coding RNA (NBEN_LNC002678)". The record is from RNAcentral. Lineage: Eukaryota; Viridiplantae; Streptophyta; Magnoliopsida; Solanales; Solanaceae.